UCUGUGUUAUGUUUCCUGUUUUACUUUGAAAGUCCAUGUGUCAUGUAAAUGCGUCUGGUUGUGCUUCCUUUGUCUCGUUAGGCCUGAUUUGCCGCAGCUGUGUUUCCCUCCUGUUACUCAUUCCCUGAUUGUUCCCUCUAUGUAUUUAAGCCCUGUGUUUCAAUUUGUCAGUGUCACGAUCUACCCUUAUCUAGCUGUGUGUUCUGUCUGCGUAAGUGUAUUUUGUAUUCCUUGUUUUGUUACCCUUUUGAGUUCACGUUCCGCCUCCGAGUGUCUGCACAUUGGGUCCUCCUACUACCACUCCUGCCUGCACACAGCCUUCACAUAACACUUUGAAAGUCAGGGAGAGGAAGUGAAGGUAGGGAAAAGGAUUUAAUAGUUGAAGUUAAAGACUGAAGGAUGUUGCAGAGCUCAGGAAGGAGUUGAGACAGGUGCUUGGUGGUAUAGGAAAGAAUUACCAGAUGACUGGGAAAGUGUGGCUGAAAUUGUGAGGAAAAAACAGUAGACAGUGGAAACAGGAAAAAAAAACUUGACUAUGGAAUGAAGAAGUCCAGUAAAGUAUUUAAGAAAGAAGUAACAAAGAAAAAGUGAAAUAAGCAGAAAACUAAAGAAAGUAGACUGAAAUACUGUGAGGCUAUUGCACAGCAAAGUGUCACAAUCCGGCUGUGUGCAGGCAGGAAUUGGACCCAAACGCAAACUCACGGGAAACAGGACUAAACUCAAAUACAGCUUUAUUGCUGAAAGAAGGAAACGGCGAUACAAGUAAUACAAAAAUAAAAUGGGAGAUUCUAAAGGACCUGGCUCACGAGGAAACACACGGAGGGGCACACAGUCAUGAGGGAGGACGCGACACAGAACUGAGGAGACACUGUAGACACCCAGUGUCCUGCCAUUGGCCCAUCUCAACCUUGCCAUCACCAGCGUGAGACUGAUGUUCAAGAAGAGCCACCAUCCCAGAAACAAAGGCUUCCAAUACACAUAACUCCUGCUGUAAAACUACCUUUAUGAUUAAAGGCACUUAAAGACACCUUCAAAGAGAACCUGAAGACCUCAGUAACAACUGACAAUGAUGCUGAAACUUAAUGGUCCCAACUCCAAGAUUCCAAUAAUCCCGGGUUUUGGAAGGAAAGAGCACAGGAACACAGUUUGGUACAAAACACACUGGACGGAGAUGCAACCAGUAUCAGAAGCCAAGAGGAACAUACUGCUAGAGAACAAGCAGAACCCCUGCCCUAGUACACGUGAUGCUCUCCGAGCUGCUCAGAAUAAGACCCAGCAAACUGCCUUCCAGUGUGCCGAAGCCUACUGGCUGAACCUCCGAGGGAGGAUUCAGUCAACUGCAGACAAUGGAGCUACAGGCCACACAGCCAUCAAGACCACACUGCUGAAGUCCAAGAUAGGAGGUGUCAUCACUGACAAGACCAAACAGUUUGAACACUGGUGGAACACUAGCUAGAGGUGCAUGCUACCCAGAAUGUGGUGACUGAUGUCACCCUGAGUCUCUCAGUUAUGGAGGAGCUAGACAACCUGCCUCCUACCGAAGAGCUCAGCAAAGCCAUCGACACCCAACCCUUAACGCUGUAUAAUCAUGUCAUGAGUUAAAUGGAAGUUUAUUAAAAUAUACUAUUUUCCAUGUUUACAGUAAAGUUGAAACAUCAGAUGUAAAUUCCAGCAUGUGAUGGCUCGAGGUAGCCAAUAGGCAGAUGUUAGUGUUUUCUUUUUAAGAUAGUUUGUGCAGGUGUAACUGAAGUUAUGUAGAA
This is a long non-coding RNA of Oreochromis niloticus (Nile tilapia), 1760 nucleotides long. RefSeq lists it as uncharacterized. The record is from RefSeq and is a predicted model, not a curated record. The transcript is spliced from 3 exons. Lineage: Eukaryota; Metazoa; Chordata; Actinopteri; Cichliformes; Cichlidae.